GACGAACGCUGGCGGCGUGCUUAACACAUGCAAGUCGAACGAUGAGCCCGGAGCUUGCUCCGGUGGAUUAGUGGCGAACGGGUGAGUAACACGUGAGUAACCUGCCCUUGACUCUGGGAUAACUGCGGGAAACUGUAGCUAAUACCGGAUACGACCCUCGGCGGCAUCGCCAGGGGGUGGAAAGAAUUUCGGUCAAGGAUGGACUCGCGGCCUAUCAGCUAGUUGGUGAGGUAACGGCUCACCAAGGCGACGACGGGUAGCCGGCCUGAGAGGGUGACCGGCCACACUGGGACUGAGACACGGCCCAGACUCCUACGGGAGGCAGCAGUGGGGAAUAUUGCACAAUGGGCGCGAGCCUGAUGCAGCAACGCCGCGUGAGGGAUGACGGCCUUCGGGUUGUAAACCUCUUUUAGUAGGGAAGAAGCGAAAGUGACGGUACCUGCAGAAAAAGCACCGGCUAACUACGUGCCAGCAGCCGCAGUAA
RNAcentral lists this ribosomal RNA (484 nucleotides) under uncultured bacterium. RNAcentral's name for it is "partial 16S ribosomal RNA". It matches the Rfam family "Bacterial small subunit ribosomal RNA", at positions 28 to 523 of the family's 1533-position model. The record is from RNAcentral.